AAAACCCUGAGGGUUAAAUAUAUACAUGGAUCAAGGAUCUCUAUAUUAUGACUGUAGUUAUGUCUAAAUACUGAAAGUUAUGCCCUCGAUGACAGAUUUAAUUAGUAGAUGUUUAUCAGCUGAGAUUGAGGAUGGUGAGAACUGCCUGAGGUCAGCAGAAUUGCACAUCUGAAAGAUAUUCACAAAAGUGAAUGAGUUCUUUACCCAUAAGAAGCAAGGAAGAGGAUGGAAAUUAGUGUCAUUUGUUUCUACCUACCAAAGUGGUUAAAGGGAGCAAGGAAACUGAGAAGUGUCUUUACUGGUCUUGUCCAGGGAGCCCUUAUGAUAGCUGAUUUCUUUGAUGUUUUUACUCAGAAACAUCAGUUAGCCAUAAAAAGAAUAAAUGGAUGACAAAGUCAGUUAGCAAUACAGCUUCCAGUGUUAAGCUAAACCACUUGUAAGAGCAGUGUUAUCUCCCCAUCAGAAGCAGCUUGGGCAGACAUACAACAAAUCAAAUUUUCAAACAAAUGUCAAAGCCUGUGUUUGAAUGGCAGAGGCUGUGUAAGGCCGGUGGAGAUCUAUUAUUUCAUCUGUAUCUCUAACACAGAAAGCACACUGAAAAUAAGCAGAAGAGCUAAACUUCUGGAUUCUGGUUCUUGAAGUAUGUAUUUGAGGUUACUCCAUUUAAAUUUCUUUCAGCUGAGACGUUCAUGCACAGCAGAGGAGCAAUUUCUUCUAUGUCCCACUCAACACCAGUAAGAUCACCUGAUAAAGAAAGGUAUCUGAAGCCCAGUUCUCCCACAGAAACAUCUAAGAUUCUGUGUACUGCCUGGCCUGAGAUCCCUGCUAGCCAAGCCUCAGGUCAGGAGAACAAUUAUUUAUUUUUUUUAUGUCACUGAUAUACUGUGGUGGGUCUGGGAAAAAUCAGUGUCCUCAAUGUGAUUUGUUAUGUUGCAGACUAAUGUUAAUGUGAACGUGACACACAGUGAAGACAUCCAGCCUAUUGCAUGUAUUCCAAAUUAACCUGUGGACUCCCUGUUAAUUCUGUUGGAUGUAUCUGGAGGUACAGCUCUGCUCUGGGGAUGCCUGCCAUGACCACUGAUCACAGAAGGAGCCUGAUCCUCUUUCAGAGGAGAUGUCCAACUGUUUCAUCCACAUAGGCUAGUGGAAAUUGAAAUUUGUAUUAGCAGUGGAGUUAAUGGGCACCCCUUAAAAUAAAAUAUGCAACGAGCGUGUGGGUUUCCUGUGC
This 1228-nucleotide long non-coding RNA is filed under the name Cyanistes caeruleus (blue tit). RNAcentral's name for it is "lncRNA (ENSCCEG00000018540.1)". The record is from RNAcentral. Lineage: Eukaryota; Metazoa; Chordata; Aves; Passeriformes; Paridae.